This 337-nucleotide ribosomal RNA is filed under the name uncultured Streptococcus sp. Its description in RNAcentral is "bacterial SSU rRNA". It matches the Rfam family "Bacterial small subunit ribosomal RNA", at positions 1042 to 1382 of the family's 1533-position model. The record is from RNAcentral. Lineage: Bacteria; Bacillati; Bacillota; Bacilli; Lactobacillales; Streptococcaceae.
UGCAUGGUUGUCGUCAGCUCGUGUCGUGAGAUGUUGGGUUAAGUCCCGCAACGAGCGCAACCCUAUGUUAGUUGCCAUCAUUCAGUUGGGCACUCUAGCGAGACUGCCGGUAAUAAACCGGGGGAAGUGGGGAUGACGUCAAAUCAUCAUGCCCCCUUAUGGCCUGGGCUACACACGUGCUACAAUGGUUGGUACAACGAGUUGCGAGUCGGUGACGGCGAGCUAAUCUCUUAAAGCCAAUCUCAGUUCGGAUUGUAGGCUGCAACUCGCCUACAUGAAGUCGGAAUCGCUAGUAAUCGCGGAUCAGCACGCCGCGGUGAAUACGUUCCCGGGCCUU